This 1236-nucleotide ribosomal RNA is filed under the name metagenome. Its description in RNAcentral is "bacterial LSU rRNA". It matches the Rfam family "Bacterial large subunit ribosomal RNA", at positions 1564 to 2810 of the family's 2925-position model. The record is from RNAcentral.
UGAAUACGAGAUGCUACGGCGUCGAAGCAGUCUAUGUCAUACUUCCAAGAAAAGCUUGCACUGUCAUAAACAAAUAAUGCCUGUACCAUAACCGACACAGGUGGGUAGGUAGAGUAUACUAAGGGGCGCGAGAUAACUCUCUCUAAGGAACUCGGCAAAAUGACUCCGUAACUUCGGGAGAAGGAGUGCCUUAUUUAUAAGGUUGCAAUAACAAGAUCCAAGCAACUGUUUACCAAAAACACAGGUCUCCGCUAAGUCGUAAGACGAUGUAUGGGGGCUGACGCCUGCCCAGUGCCAGAAGGUUAAAGAAGUUGGUUAGCAUCCGCGAAGCUGAUAACUGAAGCCCUGGUGAACGGCGGCCGUAACAAUAACGGUCCUAAGGUAGCGAAAUUCCUUGUCGGGUAAGUUCCGACCCGCACGAAAGGCGUAAUGAUUUGGAUACUGUCUCGGAGAGGGGCUCGGUGAAAUAGACUUGUCUGUGAAGAUGCGGACUACCUGCACCAGGACAGAAAGACCCUAUGAAGCUUUACUGUAACCUGAAAUUGAAAUUGGACUUUACUUGCGCAGUAUAGGUGGGAGGCGUUGAGAAUAUUCUUGCGGGAUUAUUGGAGCCAUCAGUGAGAUACCACUCUUGUAAUGUUAGAUUUCUAACUUUGUAUCAUUAUCUGGUCAAAGAACAGUUUCAGGCGGGCAGUUUGACUGGGGCGGUCGCCUCCUAAACGGUAACGGAGGCGCACAAAGGUUUCCUCUGAACGGGUAGAAAUCGUAUCUAGAGUGUAAAGGCAUAAGGAAGCUUGACUGUGAGACCUACAAGUCGAGCAGGGACGAAAGUCGGUCUUAGUGAUCUGACGGUGCUGAGUGGAAAGGCCGUCACUCAACGGAUAAAAGUUACUCUAGGAUAACAGGCUGAUCUCCCCCAAGAGUUCACAUCGACGGGGAGGUUUGGCACCUCGAUGUCGGCUCAUCGCAUCCUGGGGCGGUAGUACGUCCCAAGGGUUGGGCUGUUCGCCCAUGAAAGCGGUACGCGAGCUGGGUUCAGAACGUUGUGAGACAGUUCGGUCCAUAUCCGGUGUAGGCGUUAGAAUAUUGAGAGGAGCCUUCUUUAGUACGAGAGGACCGAGAAGGACAUACCUCUGGAGUACCAGUUAUCGUGCCAACGGUAAACGCUGGGUAGCUAUGUGUGGAGUGGAUAACCGCUGAAAGCAUCUAAGUGGGAAGCCCACCUCAAGAUAAGUA